CCUACGGGCGGCAGCAGUGAGGAAUAUUGGUCAAUGGGCGGGAGCCUGAACCAGCCAAGUCGCGUGAGGGAAGACGGUCCUAUGGAUUGUAAACCUCUUUAGGCGGGGAGCAAUGCCGGGCACGCGUGCCCGGAGGGAGAGUACCCGCAGAAUAAGCAUCGGCUAACUCCGUGCCAGCAGCCGCGGUAAUACGGAGGAUGCGAGCGUUGUCCGGAAUGACUGGGCGUAAAGGGAGUGUAGGCGGCAUAUUAAGUUAUGUGUGAAAGCCCGCGGCUCAACCGCGGAAUUGCACAUAAAACUGGUAAGCUGGAGUGCAGGAGAGGUAAGUGGAAGUCCCGGUGUAGCGGUGGAAUGCGUAGAUAUCGGGAGGAACACCAGAGGCGAAGGCGACUUACUGGACUGUAACUGACGCUGAGGCUCGAAAGCGUGGGGAGCAAACAGGAUUAGAUACCCCAGUAGUC
Molecule: ribosomal RNA, 461 nt
Filed under: uncultured bacterium
Lineage: Bacteria
Description: partial 16S ribosomal RNA
Rfam family: Bacterial small subunit ribosomal RNA
Source: RNAcentral